Molecule: long non-coding RNA, 1278 nt
Organism: Lonchura striata (white-rumped munia)
Lineage: Eukaryota; Metazoa; Chordata; Aves; Passeriformes; Estrildidae
Source: Ensembl
AAUUUCUAUUUUUUUGCCCAGCAUUGACAUUUUUCAUUCAAAAUUUACUUUUUUUUUGCCCAAAAUUCAGAAUUUUUUAUGCCAAACUGAGAAAUCCUGACCCCAAAUGGAGAAAUUUUGACUGAAAAUCGGGACUUUUGACCCAAAAAUUGAAAUGUUUUCCUCAAACUGAGAAUUUUUUCCCCAAAAUCGAGAAACUCAGCCUAAAAUUCAUAUUUAAUCUCCCAAAAUUAACAAUUUUUGUCUACAAACUGAGAAUUCGUCACCCCAAAUAUGGAAUUUUCCACCCCAAAUACAAAAUUUUCUCCAAAAAAGGGAAAUUUUUACCCCAAUUUGAUUUUUUCCCAAAAUUCACCAAAAUUUCACCACUCAAACCACUUUUAAUUCCCUUAAAAACACAAAUUUUCCACAAAACCCCCAAAAUUUCCCCAAAAUAUUUUUAUUUCCUGCCUAAAAUCCAUUUUUUUUCUUUAAAAAUUGGAUUUCCCCCCCCCAAAAUCCCAUUUUCCUCCUCAAAAUUUCACGUUUUUUCAUAAAAUUCCAUUUUCCCCAAAAAUUCAAUUUUUUUCUCCAAAAUGUCACCUUUUUUCCCCAAAAUUCCAUUUUUCCCACAAAAAAAUUCCAUUUUUCUUCUAAAAUUCAAAUUUUUCCCCCCAAAAUUCCGUUUUUCCUCCUCAAAUUUCCAGAUUUUUCAACAAAAUCCCAUUUUUCCCCAAAAAUUGCAAUUUUUUUCUCUUCGAAUUUUCACAUUUUCUCAUAAAAUUCCAAUUUCCCCCAUAAAAAUUUCCAUUUUUUCUCCUCAAAACGUCGGAUUUUUCCCAAAAUUUCCUUUUCCCCCCAUUUUUAAAACCCCGGAAUUUUCCUCUCCUCGAAUCCGUCGGAAUUUCCCCAAAUUUUCGGGUUUUUCCCCCAAUUUUUCGUCGUUUUUCCUCCCCAAAUUCCCGAAUUUCCACCCCAAAAUCUUUCGGUGCUCCAGCCGUGGUCAGCGGUCACUCAUUGGUCACUCGGUGGUCACUCAGUGGUCAGUGGUCACUCCGUGGUCACUCCAUGGUCACUCAGUGGUCAGUGGUCACUCAUUGGUCACUCAGUGGUCACUCAGGGAGGUCGAUGGUCACUCCAGGAUGAUGACCACUGGUCACUCACUGGUCAUUGUGGUCACUCCAUGGUCACUCAGGAAGGUCGGUGGUCACUCUGGUCACUGGUCACUCACUGGUCACUUCGUGGUCACUCAGGGGUCACUCAGGGGAGGCUGAUGGUCACUCAGGGUCACUCAGGGGU